CUGUUCGCCAUUUAAAGUGGUACGCGAGCUGGGUUUAGAACGUCGUGAGACAGUUCGGUCCCUAUCUGCCGUGGGCGCUGGAGAACUGAGGGGGGCUGCUCCUAGUACGAGAGGACCGGAGUGGACGCAUCACUGGUGUUCGGGUUGUCAUGCCAAUGGCACUGCCCGGUAGCUAAAUGCGGAAGAGAUAAGUGCUGAAAGCAUCUAAGCACGAAACUUGCCCCGAGAUGAGUUCUCCCUGAGACUUUAAGUCUCCUGAAGGAACGUUGAAGACGACGACGUUGAUAGGCCGGGUGUGUAAGCGCAGCGAUGCGUUGAGCUAACCGGUACUAAUGAACCGUGAGGCUUAACCUUACAACGCCGAAG
Molecule: ribosomal RNA, 366 nt
Filed under: Salmonella enterica subsp. enterica serovar Oranienburg
Lineage: Bacteria; Pseudomonadati; Pseudomonadota; Gammaproteobacteria; Enterobacterales; Enterobacteriaceae
Description: bacterial LSU rRNA
Rfam family: Bacterial large subunit ribosomal RNA
Source: RNAcentral